This 2149-nucleotide long non-coding RNA is filed under the name Homo sapiens (human). RNAcentral's name for it is "HSALNT0334673". Lineage: Eukaryota; Metazoa; Chordata; Mammalia; Primates; Hominidae. The record is from RNAcentral.
UCCCUCCUGCUGAACUCUUCCUACCCGGGCUCUGAACACAUCCCUGAGCUGCAGAGCUGACGUCUGGGUGACAGUGAAACGGGGUAUUCAUUUGUACCAAAACAAACAAACAAACAAACAAAACCUGGAAUGACGGUGUGUGGAUUUCUUGUGUGCUUAUUCGUAGGAUUGAGAAAGGGUGAGGCUAAGGUCCCGAGCCUUCGUGAAGCAAUGGAGAAAGUGCCGUCCCAAGGCUCAGUUCCACACGGCGCUGUGAGGCUGAAGGGGCUCACUGGAAGUUCCCCUCACAGGACGCCACCUCACCUGAAACCCUCUUUUUCUGCUACCAUCCAAGGGACAAGAUCUCCUGAGUUGUCGAAGACUCACUCCGGAAGAAAACCCUCUCAGGCAGUUACUGAGGGACUGUGGUCUGGACUAGAACGUGUUUUUCUCAGUGACACCUCUAGAGGGCAGCACUCAACGGAGUCCCACAGACACCUCCCUGCAUUUCCUCCUCAGACACUGGGUGGAUGAUAUGGUAACACUGGGGAAUGCUUGGGUGUUCUCCUGGAAGCUCCUUAUUUUAAUCACCUGUUUACUUGUCUCCAUUCUUAUAGAUAUGUAGGCUACCCGAGGGCAGAGACUGAGUCUGUCUUGUUCACUGUCUACCUCCAGAACCUCACACAGAAUCUGGCACUUAGUAGGUGCACAACAAAAUAAUCAUUGAAUUAGUAUACUGAGUCUUUAACAGAGUCUCUUUCUGUUUAUUGAGUUGACACGAUGUAUCCAAAAGCAGCUGAAUGCACAACUCAAACUGUCAUCCAAGCACACAAAGAAGGCAUUGAUGAAAAAGCUGAGACAGGUUACAACGGGAGUGCCAGAGAGAUGUCACUUAAAAUGAGAACUUCUCAGGGUUUGAGAAAGGUGAGUCCCAAGCCCUCGUGAAGCAUUGGAGAAAGUGCCGCCCCGAGGUUCAGGUCCACACAGCGCUGUGAGGCUGAAGGGGCGCGCUAGAAGUUCCUUUCACAGGACGCCACCUCACCUGAAACCCUCCUUUUCUGCUGACACCCGAGGGACAAGAUCUUCUGAGUUUUUCCAUUACUUACUCUGGAGGAAAACCCUCAGGCAGUUAGUUACUGAGGGACUCUGGUCUGGACUGGGAAGUGUUUUUCUCAGUGACACCUCUAGAAGGCAGCACUUAGCGGAGUCCCACAGACACCUCCCAGCAUUUCCUGCUCAAACACUGGGAGGAUGGCCUGGUAACACUGGGGAAUGCCUGGGUGUUCUAGAAGCCCCCACCCCUGAUUUUAACCACGUGUUUUCUUAUCUGAGUCCUUGUAGACAUGUAUGUAGUCUGCCUUAGGGCAGGAAUUGUGUCUACCUUGUUCACUGCCAAUCCUCAGGACAGAACCUGGCACUUAAUAGGUGCACAACAAAAUAACCACUGGCUGAAUAUACUCAGUAUUUAACAGGCAGUUUGUCACAAUCCACUCCCUCCCUGACCUCAUUGUGGUUUAUAGUUUAUGUUUAAUGACAUUUAGUUUCCAUGUACUUAGCAUUUUAUUGUAUAAAUUUCUCAUAUAUAUAAAAAAUACACAUAAAAUACAAUGGUCCUCUUUGUUUCAAUCAUCUAGCUGCAGUAAUCACCAACCCAAGCCUGUCUUUCAUUUGUAUGCCCAGCUUCUCUCCUCCUCUGUCAUAAUAUGAAACAAAUCUGAGGUAUCAUAUUAUCUCAUCCUAAAUACUUCAGUGUGUAUCUCUGAAACAUAACAGAAACAUCAUACCUAACAUCACAAAAUGACACUAAAAAAUUUAACAGUAAUUCUUUAAUAUUAUCUAACAUUCAAUCAAUAUUCAGGUUUCUAAUUUUUAUGUGUCAUAAGUUAUAUUUUAUAGUUUGUUUAAAUCCUAAUGCAAAUAAGGUCCACUCAUUGUGAUUAGUUAAUUCUUUUCAAAAUAUAUUUUAAUUGUUCAUGUGUUCUUUUUCAUGUGCUCUUUAAUGGACAGAUUUUUAAAUUUUCAUUUGGUAAAAUUUGUCCAUUUUAAAAAAAUAACUGGGGAUGCUUUUAUUUGAGGCCAAAAUAUUCACAGGUCAUCUAGUAUGGAAGUCUCUUGGCUUACUAAAAUAUUUUGAUACAGUCAAUUAGGUCCAACUUAAGAUGACCUAACU